This is a long non-coding RNA of Thunnus maccoyii (southern bluefin tuna), 1151 nucleotides long. RefSeq lists it as uncharacterized. Lineage: Eukaryota; Metazoa; Chordata; Actinopteri; Scombriformes; Scombridae. The record is from RefSeq and is a predicted model, not a curated record. The transcript has 3 exons.
UCCGGUGAACGGAGAGUCCGGGUGAACGUACAACCUGCCGGAGGAGGACAAGAAGAAGAACAGCGGGUCACGUCCUCAGCUCUGAUUGGCUGAGAGGCGUUCGAAGCCAGCGUUCGAUUCCCUGCGUGACGUGUAGCCUAGCAACCGUUCUAAAAGCGUUCUUAAUUUUAAUUUCAUUUUUGUUAGGCUGUUUUUUGUAUUAGAGAGCAAAGACAAGACCAAGAAUAAAUCGAAAAAAUAUUUCAUUUUUUCCCCUUAAUUUUUCAAAAUUAACUGUGACCCUGUACAGUAUGUUUGUAUUUGUAGCCUACGGCUAAUUUAGGCUACAUUAGGCCUACACAAAUAAAGCAAAUAGACAUUAAAAGAGACAUUAGAGAGACAUUAGAGACAUUAUAAUGAGGCAUUAUUGCCAAAAUAGCCUAAUAGCCUUCAGAUAGUUUGUCCACCUGCUGUUACAUCUGCUGACAUUACUCCACAUUGUCCUAAGAAAUGAAUUAGGCCAUUUCGAUUUAAUUAUGUUUAGAUCUUUGUAUAGGCUAGGUAUGCUAGGAAUUGUAGGGAAGUUUAAACCACAUGCAGGGUAUAGCCAGGAUUAAAAAAAAAACAUGAGUCUAAUUUAGACUAUAACCUCAUUCAAGACACCAAAAGGAGAGUCUAAUGUUUUCUUUAUUAAGUUUUUCCCAUCAUGAAGCCAGGAAAGACAUUCUGCCUCCACCCCGGGUUACCAAACCCCCGGAAAAAUAAAAAAAAAAUAGACUUGACCUCAGUGUCCACACACAGACGGCCCUACAUGCACUCCUCAGCUGGCCUGUUGCUUGAACUCACAUCUUCAUGUCAUCAAUCUGCAUGUUGUGAGUGUUCCCAGAUGCUUCCUGUUCAUUGGUCUCAAUUAAUGUGCCGGUUUCAGUUUUGUUUUUUUUAUCCGAGGUUGCUGAUGGUGUUUGAAUAAAAAAGAAACGCGUAGGCUGACCACAAUAAAUCCCAUUAUAACAGUUACUGAUAGACGGCUCCUGUUAUUAACACCGACCUCUGGGGCAAAACAGUCAUCUAUGAAGCGUCUGCCAGUGAUAAAAAAUCAACCAGACUGUCUUUUCUGUUGAGCUGCUGGUUAUAAGCUUCGUGGACGGUGAGUGUCUGUACCUGGCGGGCAG